RNAcentral lists this unclassified non-coding RNA (319 nucleotides) under Clostridioides difficile. RNAcentral's name for it is "16S-23S ribosomal RNA intergenic spacer (ISR)". Lineage: Bacteria; Bacillati; Bacillota; Clostridia; Peptostreptococcales; Peptostreptococcaceae. The record is from RNAcentral.
ACCUACUGUUUAAUUUUGAGGGUUCGUUUUUACGAAUACUCAAAAUUAGCACUUUAAGCAACAGAAUAAACUGAACGCAUGUGAAGUUUGUUUGUUGGCGCUGUGUGUUAGCACUUUAAGCAACGGGAUUUAUCCGUUGGCGCUGUGCUUUAGCACUUUAAGCAACGGAAUUUAUUCGUUGGCGCUGUGCAUUAGCACUUUGAAAACUGCAUAUAUAUAUUUAGUGAUAUGACAUCUAAUUUGUAAUAUAAAGCUGAUAACUUUUUAAAAUUAUCGAAGUUGAUAGCUUCUAAUCUAUCAAACCUUUUUAACUGGUCAA